RNAcentral lists this non-coding RNA (971 nucleotides) under Calyptophractus retusus (Greater fairy armadillo). Its description in RNAcentral is "12S ribosomal RNA". It matches the Rfam family "Bacterial small subunit ribosomal RNA". The record is from RNAcentral. Lineage: Eukaryota; Metazoa; Chordata; Mammalia; Cingulata; Chlamyphoridae.
CACAGGUCUGGUCCCAGCCUUACUAUUAGUCUACAGCAAAAUUACACAUGCAAGUAUCAGCACCCCAGUGAGAAUGCCCUCUAGUUCUUUACUAGACCAAAAGGAGCUGGCAUCAAGUACACUAACCCACAGCUAGUAGCUCACGACGCUUUGCUCAACCACACCCCCACGGGCCACAGCAGUGAUAAAAAUUAAGCAAUGGGCGAAAGCCCGACUAAGUUAUGCUGUAAUACAGGGUUGGUAAAUUUCGUGCCAGCAACCGCGGUCAUACGAUUAACCCAAACUAAUAGCCCCCCGGCGUAAAGCGUGUUCUAGAAACCCCCCCCCCAAUAAAGUUAAACUUCUACUAUGCCGUAAAAAGCUCCAGUCGAAACCAAAAUACCCCACGAAAGUGACUUUAAGAGAUCUGAAACACGAUAGCUAGGGCACAAACUGGGAUUAGAUACCCCACUAUGCCUAGCCCUAAACCAAGACAACUCAAAAACAAGGUUGUUCGCCAGAGUACUACUAGCAACAGCUUAAAACUCAAAGGACUUGGCGGUGCUCUAUAUCCCCCUAGAGGAGCCUGUUCUAUAAUCGAUAAACCCCGCUACACCUCACCACCCCUUGCCAAUACAGCCUAUAUACCGCCAUCUUCAGCAAACCCUAAUAAGGAACCACAGUGAGCACAAUAAUUCACAAAAAAACGUUAGGUCAAGGUGUAGCCCAUGGGGUGGAAAGAAAUGGGCUACAUUUUCUAAAACUAGAACACUUCACGGAAACCUCAAUGAAACACCCUUAGGUGUAAGGCGGAUUUAGCAGUAAAUUAAGAAUAGAGAGCUUAAUUGAACCAGGCCAUAGAGCACGCACACACCGCCCGUCACCCUCUUCAACUAUUCAAGCCCAUAUUAAAUACACCAUUUAACUAGCAACCGUACGAGAAGAGACAAGUCGUAACAAGGUAAACAUACUGGAAAGUGUGUUUGGAUAAU